Molecule: ribosomal RNA, 813 nt
Filed under: Triticum aestivum (bread wheat)
Lineage: Eukaryota; Viridiplantae; Streptophyta; Magnoliopsida; Poales; Poaceae
Description: partial small subunit ribosomal RNA
Source: RNAcentral
AUGUCGACCGACGUGGCCGCCGAUGUCCCGGCCCCUGAGGUGGAGGUGGCCGCCGACCCCGUCGUGGAGACCACGGCCGAGGCCGCCGCCGGCGACGCGAAGCCGGCCAAGGAGACCAAGGCCAAGGCGGCCAAGGCCAAGAAGCCCUCCGCCCCGAGGAAGCCCCGCGCCACCCCCGCCCACCCGACCUACGCCGAGAUGGUGUCGGAGGCCAUCACCGCCCUGAAGGAGCGGACGGGGUCGAGCCAGUACGCCAUCGCCAAGUUCGUCGAGGACAAGCACAAGGCGCACCUCCCGGCCAACUUCCGCAAGAUUCUGUCGGUGCAGCUCAAGAAGCUGGUCGCCUCCGGCAAGCUGACCAAGGUCAAGGCCUCGUACAAGCUGUCGGCCGCCGCGGCCAAGCCCAAGCCGGCGGCGAAGAAGAAGCCCGCGGCGAAGAAGAAGGCGCCAGCCAAGAAGACCGCCACCAAGACCAAGGCCAAGGCGCCCGCCAAGAAGGCCGCCGCGAAGCCCAAGGCCAAGGCGCCCGCCAAGCCCAAGGCCGCCGCGAAGCCCAAGGCCGCCGCGAAGCCCAAGGCCAAGGCCGCCGCGAAGCCCAAGGCUGCCGCCAAGCCCAAGGGCCGCCCCGCCAAGGCUGCCAAGACCUCGGCCAAGGACGCGCCAGGGAAGAAGGCCCCUGCCGCCGCGGCGCCCAAGAAGGCCGCCGCCAGGAAGCCGCCCACCAAGAGAUCCACGCCGGUGAAGAAGGCCGCGCCCGCCAAGAAGGCUGCGCCGGCGAAGAAGGCCCCGGCCGCCAAGAAGGCCAAGAAGUAG